RNAcentral lists this ribosomal RNA (504 nucleotides) under uncultured bacterium. RNAcentral describes it as "partial 16S ribosomal RNA". It matches the Rfam family "Bacterial small subunit ribosomal RNA", at positions 28 to 523 of the family's 1533-position model. The record is from RNAcentral.
GAUGAACGCUAGCGGCAGGCCUAAUACAUGCAAGUCGAACGGGAUCUGAGGGUAGCUUGCUACCCGAUGUGAGAGUGGCGCAUGGGUGCGUAACGCGUGAGCAACCUACCCAUAUCAGGGGGAUAGCCCGAAGAAAUUCGGAUUAACACCGCAUAAUAAUACGCUAACACAUGUUGAUGUAUUUAAAUAUUUAUAGGAUAUGGAUGGGCUCGCGUGACAUUAGCUAGUUGGUAAGGUAACGGCUUACCAAGGCGACGAUGUCUAGGGGCUCUGAGAGGAGAAUCCCCCACACUGGUACUGAGACACGGACCAGACUCCUACGGGAGGCAGCAGUAAGGAAUAUUGGUCAAUGGGCGCAAGCCUGAACCAGCCAUGCCGCGUGCAGGAUGACUGCCCUAUGGGUUGUAAACUGCUUUUGUUAGGGAAUAAACCUUCUUACGUGUAAGGAGCUGAAUGUACCUAAAGAAUAAGGAUCGGCUAACUCCGUGCCAGCCGCCGCGGUAA